GGGGUUGUGGCUCAGUGGUAGAGUACUCUCCUAGCAUGUGUGAGGCACCUGGUUUGAUCCUCAACACCA
Molecule: transfer RNA, 69 nt
Filed under: Marmota monax (woodchuck)
Lineage: Eukaryota; Metazoa; Chordata; Mammalia; Rodentia; Sciuridae
Description: tRNA.Ala
Source: RNAcentral